RNAcentral lists this long non-coding RNA (229 nucleotides) under Cyanistes caeruleus (blue tit). Its description in RNAcentral is "lncRNA (ENSCCEG00000009945.1)". The record is from RNAcentral. Lineage: Eukaryota; Metazoa; Chordata; Aves; Passeriformes; Paridae.
CCUGGGUGUCCAGAUAGGUAAUUCAGAACAAAUGUGGUUUUUUGAGUGACUAGAAACAACUGGAAUGAAAAUCCAUUUUCACAUCAAUUGCUAAACACUGACCAAAGGAACAAAUAUGAUGCUGAACCAUGUUCUAAUCCAGGGGGGGCAUAUAGAAGUCUGUCUGUCUCCAACUAAAACAUCUUCUGUAAAAUUAUCCUGUUUGAGGACAAUUUCUGUCUCAAGUUGA